AACGAACGCUGGCGGCAUGCCUAACACAUGCAAGUCGAACGAGACCUCCGGGUCUAGUGGCGCACGGGUGCGUAACGCGUGGGAACCUGCCCUUAGGUUCGGAAUAACUCCCCGAAAGGGGUGCUAAUACCGGAUAAUGUCUUCGGACCAAAGAUUUAUCGCCUUUGGAUGGGCCCGCGUUGGAUUAGCUAGUUGGUAGGGUAAAAGCCUACCAAGGCGACGAUCCAUAGCUGGUCUGAGAGGAUGAUCAGCCACACUGGGACUGAGACACGGCCCAGACUCCUACGGGAGGCAGCAGUGGGGAAUAUUGGACAAUGGGCGAAAUCCUGAUCCAGCAAUGCCGCGUGAGUGAUGAAGGCCUUAGGGUUGUAAAGCUCUUUUACCCGGGAUGAUAAUGACAGUACCGGGAGAAUAAGCUCCGGCUAACUCCGUG
RNAcentral lists this ribosomal RNA (433 nucleotides) under uncultured bacterium. RNAcentral's name for it is "partial 16S ribosomal RNA". It matches the Rfam family "Bacterial small subunit ribosomal RNA", at positions 29 to 507 of the family's 1533-position model. The record is from RNAcentral.